Brassica napus (rape) is the source of this 9106-nucleotide long non-coding RNA. RefSeq lists it as uncharacterized. The record is from RefSeq and is a predicted model, not a curated record. Lineage: Eukaryota; Viridiplantae; Streptophyta; Magnoliopsida; Brassicales; Brassicaceae. The transcript is spliced from 6 exons.
AUUAGCAUGUGAAAUCCAAAGAAAACUAUAAUAUAGAUUUCUAACCGCAAUACAAUAUUUGUUAUACUUUGUUAAUAAUUAUUUUGAUCACCAACCCAUUCUGAGUAAAUAACAGUAUUAUGUAAAUACGAUUAUGAACAUUAUUCAAACAAAUUGUAUAUAGAUAGCAAAUACAUCAACGGAGAUGGAUGAUGAAGAGGAAGAAAAAAACAAAAGAUAAAUGUUCUAAUAUCCUUAAACAUUAUAAAUUUAACGGUUUUAAAGCUAAAAUAAAAUUUAAAUGGAUUGUGCAUAAAAUUUAUUUUAAUUAAAAUUAAAUAAGUACGAUAAAAUAUUCAGAUUAAACUAAGCUUAUAUCAUUUUAUAUGUUUUUCAUCACGUGAUAUAUAAUUUGCAUUAAUAAAAAUAACUUAUUUUGAGUAGUAAAAGAUUCAAAUCUAAUAGACCAAAAAUAUUUAAUUUCAUAAAAAAAAUCUUUUUUAAAAAAAAUUGUCUAAUGAUUUAUAUUUUAAUAAUAAAUGUUAAUAUAUACAUAAUAUUGAAAUAAAUUAAAAUGAUAGAAUUAAAAAUAAAUAUUAUGGAAAUACCCCGGCCGUAGCAAGACGAUCUCUGAUCUGAUUUAAAAAAAAAAAUAUUUACUAAACCACUUUCAUCACAGGAACAACAACCAAUCUGAAAUUCAACCCUUUUGAGCUUAUACGAAGCCAUUGUUUUCGGAAAUACAAAUAAUAAUAGUUUGAAACUCUUGACUCCGUUUUUAUUUUAAAUUUCCGUCGACAUAUGACUCUAACUUAUUUACAGUUCUACAUUUCCCAUUCUGAUGAAAAACAUCCUAUUAAACUGACCCUAUUAGUUAAAUAAAUGGCUUCAAAUACAGAGUCCCUAAUAUGUAUUUACUACCUUAUUUACACAGCAAAUAAAAUAAUUAUAUUUCAAAUAAAUCGACACAACUGGUGCAUAACAUAACCUCAUAAAAUAUAAUCCAUACAACAAAAACUAAUCAAGCAUACUUAUAACUAAAAUAAUAGUAAUAUUAAAAAAAUAGAUUGCAUAUUUUUUUUAUAAAUAUUUAUUGUUAAGAAGAAAUAGUCAUUCAUAUAUUUCGAUGGGAAACAAUAUAUAUAUAUAUAUAUAUAUAUAUAUAAUUUUUAAAAGGGUGUUUGUUUUACUAAUUAACAAUUCAUAUUAAAAAUACAAUGCAGCUAUUUAGAUCAAAUUUUGAAUAGUUAUUUAGUUUAAUAUAAUAAUAUUUUAUUGUUAACUAUAUUCCGUAUGCUUUUGUAUUAUUUUGUAUUAUGUUAUAAAUAUCUAAACAUCAAUCACAAAAUUUCGGUGAGAAUUUAAUAGCUUAUUAAUUUAUAGUCAUUUUUCAAGUUCAACACAUAAUAUACUGAGUACGAAAAAAAACAUAAAAAUCACUAAGAUUUGAUCAUUAUAUAUUAUUUAUUUCAUCCAAAUGCUUUAUUGGGUUUAAAAUAUAAUUUUAUAUAUAUUAUUUAUUUUAGCUUAUAUUUUACUCUUAAUUGGGUACUUAUGUUGUGGUUAUGGAAGUUGUUAUUAUAUAAUAACUUAUGAGUUGCAUAUAAUAUCCAGAAAUAUUGUGUAAUUAUUGAUUCAGAUGUAUAUAUUAGCACACUCACACCUAAGAAGAAGAUGAACUCUGCACUGUAUGCAUUAACAAUAUUGUAAGCAAAGAGAAUUCAACGAAUUGCCUUGCAACCAUAUCUUUCACCACCAGUGCAUCGUUGACUGGUUUAUAUCAAAUUUAAGUUGCCCAACAUGUUAAGAUACGGUACUAUAAUUACAAGUUUGUCUAUUUCCUCACUAUUAAUACUCUUUAGAUUCAUCCAACUCCAGAAAAUUUCUAAAAAUGAUGUGAUGGCACCAUGAAAAAAAAUACUUAUCAAUACGCCAUGGUAUAUUUAGUCAUCAAAUACAAUAACAUAUACAGAAUUUAACUAAUAUGUAUAUUUUAAAAUAUAACAAUUUAUAUUGAAUAUUUACUCUAAUUAUUUACAUAAUUUUUAAAAUAGCAUCCCGCCCGUAGGGCGGGCCGGUCCUAGUAAUUAUAUAAAGAAGAGAUGAUUCAAUUAUGAGAGAAACACGUCACUAAUUGAAAGCACCAGACAAUGACGUGUGUCCUGAUAUCAAUACUCGGGCGUUUCAUUAAUUUGAGUCGUGUUUUUGUAUCUCUGGGCUGGGAAAAUGGUAGGCUAAGGUUGAUUUUAAAACAGGCCCAUAACCUGAAUAAGGAAAACCCUAAGCUUUUGAUAAAAAAAAAAGGAAAAUCCUAAGCUUGUCGCUUUGUCGUCCCCUUCGAGACUUCUCAUUUUCAUCUCUACCAUCUCAGCACAGAAACGUUCACGAUUAUUUAUUCGUCGUGUUUAAUCUCCAUUAAUUCAAUCAAACACGAUGUGGCUUUUAAUGCGUGCUUUGAUUCGAAGUCGGUGUAUCUACGAGUAUAAAUAGGCGAGCAUUCUUCCUCUUGCAAUCAUCUUAACAAUCUGUUUAAACAGCAAACACACAUUUAUUUUCUGAGAUAUGGCUAACUCCAAAAUUUUGCUUUCGGAUUUGAAGUCCGAUAAAUGUUCUUCUAGAGUUCAAGUUAGAUUGUUGCGAUGCUGGGAGACGAGACAUGUUAGGCGAGGUGGUGAACUCAUGUCCGUCCAUACGCUCUUGCCUGCUUCGAAGGCAACUAUCAUGCCAGCCACCGUGAAUGCUAGCCACUUUUCCCGUUUUAUGGUGCGAGUCCAGCUCAGUCCUUCUUCUCCAAGAAGGCUCCGGGGAGAUCUCCGGCGACUUAUAGGAUCGCGGUGAGCUUGGUGAUGAAUUUGGUCGUGGCCAUUUUUAAGACACUUCUGCUGCUAAGUUUAAGAGAAAUGAUAACAAAGCAAAGGCUAUGGGAAGGAGGAGAGCUUUUGGAUAUAAUACUUUCAAGAGGUGGGAAGUAUAAGGAGGAGGAUGCAAAGUUUGUUUUGAUACAAAUAUUGUAAGUGAUUUCAUUUUGUCAUCUCCAAGGUGUUGUACACCGAGAUCUCAAACCCAAGAAUUUUCUGUUUCCCUCAAAAGACACCUCUCAGUUUAAGGCAAUAGAUUUUGGCUUUUCAGAUUACAAUGAGAGGACAACUAACUUAUAAAGUGGGUUUUAGGGUCAAAAAAGGCAGCGCAAAAAUUUACCUCUAACAGAAGCAGCCAUAGAAAUUAGAAUUCUGAAAAUGAAAUUCAAUGCAACUCACGAAGAGUUAAUCAAAUUGUGAAACGUAGAAGAAUAUGCAGGUUUCAAGUAUGCUCUGGAAACUUUGGUAGAGACACCUAAUAUGACUGUUAGGGUUGCAAAAUGGUUGAUUUGUAUCUUUUUAGCUUCGCUUAUAGAAGCACACUUAAAUUAUGUUCUUACUAUUCAAUUAUGGUAGUGUCAUGCUAACGAUUGUAAUCAACUGUGCAAAAAUCUAAAAAGCAAUCUUAAACCAUUUUUAGAUAUAAGGAAUGAGACUUUUGUGAACCCAACGUUCAUUAACUUUCACAAAGAAAGUGCUACAGAAGUGGUGACUUGAAAUUGUACGAAACUGAGUUCUAGAGUUUUUUAUUUUUGUUUUUGAAAAACUUGAGUUCUAGAGUUUUUAGGGAGUUAGGGACUUUAACCAAUGUUUUAGUUCCUGCCUUCCUGGACUUAUAUUUACUGUGUGUUUUUUAAAACAUGGACCAUUAUGAUCAUCUUUAUCUCUUAAAGCUAUUGAAGGAGAAAUAAAAGAUCAUCGGCAGAAGAAUAAAAUUUUACUGAUACACACAUACAUGUGCUUAUUUAUGUCUCCUGAAUCAUGAAUGUUUGUUUCAGUAUAAACUUAUAUUUUGUAUUUUGACCCCAAAAAAAAACUUAUAUUUUGUAUUGAGUUGAUCUUUCUUUAUCCGUGUACUUUUCUACUUUUGUUGUGCACAAAUUUUUAGUUGGUUAACAAAACAUGAGUCAACUUCAGAUUUGCUUGAUAAAUUUUCUUAUACAAUGAAGACUAAUACAUUAAAACACUUUGAAUAUAUCAUUGAUUUGUUUGGUGAUGUAUAUAUAUAGCUCAAGAUUUAUCUGGACAUGCUUUGAAUAGAGGCCUCCAAAAUUGGCCCCAAGACAAGAAACCUUCCGAGCUAUCGGAACACUUGGAAACAAACUCUUCCCAAGGACGAAUAUGAAGCAGAGUCUACCAAAGAUCUCACUGCGAUUAACACAAAUAAUACUUUUGGGAAGAAGAAAUCGCUUGAAAAUCCACCUCCUCUUGGUUUGACUGUAGGAGAUUUAUUUCCUAUAAAAUAUAUUUCAUAGUUGACUGCCGUUCAAAAAAAUAAUACAUAUAUGACCAAGUUAUUUGGUCAAUGCUUUCAAUUGCAAACUCACGUGACAGUCAAUUCACAGAUAGUGAUUUCAAUAGAACUAAAUAAAGCUAUAACAAAAUUGAAAAAAUUACCGGCGGUUACAAAAAAGAACGAAGGCUUUGAAUGGUGACCAAGGAACGAAAGGGAACACUGAAUUCCUUAUCAUUCCCAAAAAAAAUCACCAUUCACAAGGAAUAGUUUUUCCUUCUUGUUCCUCCCCAUUCCUUUUUUUGUAGAGAAAUAUAGAACAAAAGCAUUCUUUGUUAAAUUUGAUAAGGAACAUGCAUUCCUUUUCAUUCCUGCAAUUUUAUUCCUAUACGUUCAUUUCCUAUUCGUUCCUCGUGUUCCCGAAAAGGUCACCAGUCGGAGCUGAAAUAUGACUAAGAAAAAAGUGGCAAAAGUGGAAUGGAAGACUCGACCUUAAAUAGGACAUAGGCUUUUAACUAAACUGGGCUUUAAUUGAAAUUAAGCUUAUUAUCCAUUUAUGCCUCUUCUAAUCAACUUUAAUCGUUUCUUUGAUAAAAGCAAAUAUUACAAGUUAGAAAAUUGAUCAAAAUGAUUUUUUCUUUGGUCAUUGUUUUGAUUUUGAAAUUACCUUUGUCAUACAACAAACACCGUAUAACACAAAUCUUAUAAUCUAAAUAACAAUUAAAUUAUGGGCUAUGGAGUUACUGUCAGAUGAGGUGGUGCAUGUUUCUACUUCCACGCUGAGUAACAAAUUUGCCAUUAUUUUAAAACUCGAACCGAAUUAACAGUCGGACAGGUUUAACCGUCAACUAGACACAUAUUCGGGUCGGCUGGAUAAAAUUGCGUUUAGUUUUAAUUUGUUACUAAAAAACAUUUGUUGAAUGUUUUAUCUUUUAAAUCAUCAAAACUAUAAUAAAUAAAUAAUAUAUAUUUUAUUAUAUUUAAUGAUAAAUAUUUUAUCUUAUAAUUUAAAAUAUUGAAUUUAUAUUUUAUUUUUAUUUUUUUUACUUAAAUUUAUAAAAUAUAUGCAAUGAAAAUAUAUAAUUAUAUAAUUAUAUAAUUAUAUACAUCACAUUUAAAUCAAAUCCUACGCGUAGCGCAUGGUUACUCUAGUUACCCUAUAUAUUAACUCGAUAUCUUUUCAUAAAUCAAAGCAGUCCUUAUACAUAUAGCUAGCGGUAAAUUAGAUUUUAUUCAAUUUGUUUGAAACGUUAUCAUUCAUUUGGUUAUUUUGUGUUUAUAUUAUAUCCGUUUAAUGAUACUUUUUUGUUUUUGUAUUGGUCAUGCAGAUGAAUCUUACCAACUUCGACGGACAAGCAAAUCACAAGGCAGUGUGGACUAUGAAUUGUGCAGUAUUUCAGAUCCACUACUGCCGGAUAAGUUUGACGGAAAAAAUUUAUGUAUUUGGCAACAAGAGAUGGAACAAUAUUUAACGCAUUUGAAAUUGAUUAUCUUAGUGAUGACAAACCAGUAAAUCAUGUUGGUAACACCGAUGUCUUCAAUUUAAGAAGUGAAGAAUCGUGGAUAGAUGGUGAUUAUAUGUAUAAAUGAGUGAUAUUAGGCCGACUAAUUGAUCCCUUUUAUGCAUUGUAUUCUCAGGAAAAAACUUCUAAGCCGUUGUGAUUAUCUUUGGAGAAGAAUCAUGUUAUGAGGCGUCAAUAUUUUGCCACUGCCAAAUUCUUACACUUCGAGAUGGUGGACUCUAAACCUAUUGUUAAAAAAAUUGAGCAAUUAAAUCUGCAGCGAUUUGAAUUCGGAGGGUAUUUCUCUUUGCAAUACUUUUAUUUUUAGCAAUUUGAUCGAGAAGAUUCCUGGAAGUUCGAGGUAGUUUAACGUCUCUGGAUGAUAUAAUCAACAGGAUAAAGUUAGAAGAUCUAAACAAGAACGUCAUGAAAAAUCAUUCUUGUUCCAUUCCACAUGGGAAGUUACAAGCCAAAGCAAAAACAGUGUCAAAAAAACGGUUGCUAUUGAUAAGAGGUCGAAAGGAAUUUGUCACAAAUGUGAAAAAAAUUACUAUAUCUAAUACUGUUUAAACAUCUAUAUGAAUUUACAGUUUGUUGAUAUUUCUCUUUAUUGUCAAUCAAUGUUUUAAUAUCUAAUAAUAAUUCUUUUAUAUUCUUAUUAAUCAUAAUGGUUUCAUAUUUUUUCCAUUAAAACACAUACUAAUAUAAAUUAAAGUUCGAAUAAUAGCUAUAUAGGUAAGAUAGUAGUAUAAUAAUUACAAAGAUGAACCAAGUGAAACGAAAAGACAAUUCAUUAGAAAAUGAUUUACAUGUUUAAGCAUAUACUGUAAUUAUUAUAUCUAUGGACGUAUGCAAUAAACAACCAAGUUUCCAAAUCAAUGAAAGUUGAUAGGUAAAAUGUUUCGUUUGACAAGAAGGUUUUUUCAGAACAAAACUUUUAAAAGGGUUGACCAAAAAAAAUUUUAAAAUGAAGAUUUUUUUUAAUAAAUGAUACGUAUUAAAAAGUACCUACAUGAUAGUUUAUGAUCCAAUAUUUAUAUUUUAUACGAUCUUCCUAUGUAAGCAUAUACUGUAGAUAAAACACAUUAAAGUGCAUAUUAGUUACUAUAUGCAACAUUUACAUUUUAAUUGAUAUUUAUCUUUUAAAAAUUGAUAUAUUUCAUACUAAAUAUAACUAUAUGUAUAUUUAUAAGUAGGUGGUUGCCCACGAUUUCGCGGGAAUAAAUACUUUUUGAAAAUUAUAUAUGAUGUUUAUAAUCUUGUAAUUUUGAAUAAUAAUCAUAACUAUUAAAAUAACAUUUUAUUUUAAAUAGUUUGAAAAUCAAAAGUCUUGGUAUUGUAUACUCUUAAAAGAUAUUGAAAUAUAUAGUUAAUUCUAUAAAUUUUAUUAUAAGUUUCCAAAAAGUCUUUUUUGACAUAAUUUUUUAUUAAUAAAAAAAACCAAAUAUUAAUGAACAAAAAGUUAUCUUAUAACACUUUCUAUUUUCGCAUUAUUUUUUCUACCACUUUAUUUUAUUUAGAAGUAAAUAGUUACAAAUAAUUAAUUAACAGUUAUAAUAAUACGUUAAACACAUGUAUUUCGGCAAACAUAUAAAAAAUUAAGUACGUAAAAAUAUAAAAUAACACAGAAUAUAACCAAGAAUACAACAAAAAAGUGUUAUUAUUUUUCACUGAUGUUUUAUAUAUGUAUCCUUUCUUUUUUUUCUAUUACAAAAUAAGCAAGUCAAUUUUAUUAUAAGCAAAACUAUAUCAAUAGAGUCUUAACUCUAGUCCUGUAUUAAUAUAUUGUUCUCAUCUUUUUAAUUUAUAUUAUAAUAAUUUUUUUCAUUGAUUAAUAUUAUUUUAAAGAAUUUACCAUAUAAAUUUAUUAUAAUCAAGGCUAUAAGAAUUAUAUUUAUAGAGUAUAUUAACUUUAGUCUCGUAUUAGUAUAAUGUUCUAAUUUUUCAAUUUAAUAUCAUAAUAAAUAUUUUCAUUUAUUAAAAUUAUAUUAAAAGAUUUACUAUAUAUUUUUCUGUUUUUAUAUAUACAAAUAUUUUAAUCAUUUCUAAAAGUAAUAGCCCAACUAUACAAUCAACAUUUGUCACUGAAAAAUGACUGAAUAUUUUUAAAGUUAUAUAUUUGACUGUUUUAAUUCAUCGGAUACAUUUUUGAAAAACAUAUAUAUUGUGAGUAUAACAAAAUAUUAUUAGGUUUAGUUUAAUUAAUCUUCUGUAAUCUAUCAUUUAUUGUAUCCACUGUUAAUAUAAAUAUGUUAAAAUCGUUUAUAUAAUUAUUUCUAUCAUACCAUAUGUAUUUAUAUGUAUAUUUUAAAUUUCUAUAUUGUAAUCUAUAAUAUUUAAUUGUUUCUAUAAACAAAUUAUGUUAAUUCAUCUAUUUUUUUAAAUGUUUAAUUGUUUUUAUGGUAAUAUAGAUUAGAUUACGUAGUUAUAGGAUUAGUUUUCUUUUUUAAACUUUAACUAAAUAAAAGAAAAUUCAAAUACAAACAACCAAUCAAAUUAAGAAAAUUAACUCUAAACUUCACCUAUGAAUGACACCUAGGCAAAUAGUCGUCUGGGACAGCAUCAUCAAACAUAUUAGCCCUGAAGAACUCGAUGAGGUAAUGGAGCCUUUUGUCACAAUGGUCCCUUAUCUGCUUGUUGAGUGCGCUGUCCCUGGCGAACAAAAGGUUCAAUACACAUUGGAGCCAUACACAUAUGAGAGACAAACCGUUAGAGUACCUCAGUGCCGAGCUGGUGAUUGUGGCCCCUUCACUCUGAAGUACAUUGAAUGUCAUGCUCUUGGGAUGGAAUUUCCCAAAGCGUUUUGUACUAGAAAUGGGAAGACCAUCAGGGAGAAGAUGGCGGUGGAUAUAUUUCAAGAGCUUCCUAUGUGCCGCGAAUGGGAAAACCAAGACAAUGAUGAGAACCUGGGCACGUAUGAGUAGAUAUUGGAUGUGUUAUUUGUAUUUGAACUUGAUGCUUUUGUGUACUGUUGUAUGGUAGAUUAUGCUACGUUAACAGGGUCAGGAUAGGAUGAUGUUUUUUGUAACCUAUCCUCAUACCAAACUAGAAUUCCGUAGGAAAUUAGUUUGGUAGUGCAGUAACCUUUCGGAUAAUGUAAUGUUUGACUAGUCUUUUUAAAUUGCAUUGUCGUUGGGCGACUAACCAGAAGGUCGUCUGGACGAUUUACCACCACUUCCAACAAAAAGACCACUCAGACAACUUAACUUUAAGUCGUCUGCGUGGUCUUUUUGUUGGAAGACUUCUCAGACGACUUAAAGUUAAGUCUACAGAGAAGUUCAUAAAACAUAGAGUCUACAGAGAACUUCAUAAAA